CAGUAGCCGCGGGAAUACAGAGGAUGCAAGCGUUAUCCGGAAUGAUUGGGCGUAAAGCGAGCGCAGGCGGUUAGAUAAGUCUGAAGUUAAAGGCUGUGGCUUAACCAUAGUACGCUUUGGAAACUGUUUAACUUGAGUGCAAGAGGGGAGAGUGGAAUUCCAUGUGUAGCGGUGAAAUGCGUAGAUAUAUGGAGGAACACCGGUGGCGAAAGCGGCUCUCUGGCUUGUAACUGACGCUGAGGCUCGAAAGCGUGGGGCGCAAACAGGAUUAGAUACCCGUGUAGUCCCUGUCUCUUAUACA
RNAcentral lists this ribosomal RNA (301 nucleotides) under uncultured bacterium. RNAcentral's name for it is "partial 16S ribosomal RNA". It matches the Rfam family "Bacterial small subunit ribosomal RNA", at positions 509 to 808 of the family's 1533-position model. The record is from RNAcentral.